RNAcentral lists this ribosomal RNA (464 nucleotides) under Vreelandella stevensii. RNAcentral describes it as "partial 16S ribosomal RNA". It matches the Rfam family "Bacterial small subunit ribosomal RNA", at positions 338 to 795 of the family's 1533-position model. Lineage: Bacteria; Pseudomonadati; Pseudomonadota; Gammaproteobacteria; Oceanospirillales; Halomonadaceae. The record is from RNAcentral.
CCUACGGGGGCUGCAGUGGGGAAUAUUGGACAAUGGGCGAAAGCCUGAUCCAGCCAUUCCGCGUGUGUGAAGAAGGCCUUCGGGUUGUAAAGCACUUUCAGUGGGGAAGAAAGCCUUGGGGCUAAUACCCUCGAGGAAGGACAUCACCCACAGAAGAAGCACCGGCUAACUCCGUGCCAGCAGCCGCGGUAAUACGGAGGGUGCGAGCGUUAAUCGGAAUUACUGGGCGUAAAGCGCGCGUAGGCGGUCUGAUAAGCCGGUUGUGAAAGCCCCGGGCUCAACCUGGGAACGGCAUCCGGAACUGUCAGGCUAGAGUGCAGGAGAGGAAGGUAGAAUUCCCGGUGUAGCGGUGAAAUGCGUAGAGAUCGGGAGGAAUACCAGUGGCGAAGGCGGCCUUCUGGACUGACACUGACGCUGAGGUGCGAAAGCGUGGGUAGCAAACAGGAUUAGAUACCCUGGUAGUC